GGUCUAAUUGAAUUAAAGCAAUCGGUGGAUACCUUGGAUGGAUUAGCCGACGAAGGACGCGCCAGACUGCGAAAAAGAUCGGGGAGCUGUCAAGAAGCAUUGAUCCGGUCGUGUCCGAAUGGGGAAACCCCCCCGAUUGAAACAUCGGGGACUACGACGCAAGUCGUGGGGGGAACUUGCCCAACUGAAAUAUCUAAGUAGGCAAAGGAAAAGAAAUUAACAAAGAUGCCGUCAGUAGCGACGAGCGAAAGCGGCGUAGGCCCAAACCAUGUAUUUAUAUGUGGGGUUGUAGGACUCCUAUCCGGGAAUUUUUUGAUAGCUGAAUCCAGCGGAAUCUGGAACCAAAGAAAGUGAAAGUCUUGUAAGUGAAAUUGAAAAAUUUUCUGGGAGAUUCCUGAGUAAUACGAGAGACGGCAAACUCCUGUAUGAAACCGGGGCGACCACGCUCCAAGGCUAAAUACUAGUCCAUACCGAUAGUGAACGAGUACCGCGAGGGAAAGGUGAAAAGAAGGGCGAAACGCCCUAUGAAAGAGAACUUGAAACCGAUUGCUAACAAGCAGACAGAGGGCCGAUGACGCAAGUCUAUCGCGCCUGAUGUCGUGCCUAUUGAAGAAUGAGCCGGUGAGUCUUUAUUAACUGCCAGUUUAAUCCGUUUUUAGCGGGGAAGGCGUAGCGAAAGCAAGUCUUAAAAGGGCGAUUAGCAGUUGAUAGAGGACCCGAAACCGGGUGAUCUAUCCUUGAGCAGGGUGAAUUCCGACGAAAGUCGGGAGGAGGCCCGCACCCGUUAGUGUUACAAAACUAUGGGAUGACUUGAGGUUAGAGGUAAUAUGCCAAUCGAACCCGGAGAUAGCUGGUUCUCCCCGAAAUAUAUUUAGGUAUAGCCUUGCCAUUUACUCCAGGGGUAAAGCACUGGAUGGAUAUUAAGAGCUUGCUUUUGGUAUCCAACCAAACUAAGAAUACUGGAGGAAUUAUUGGCAGGAGUCAGUGUCUGGGGGCUAAGCUCCAGAGGCAAAAGGGUAACAUCCCAGAUCUUCAGCUAAGGUCUCUAAAUAACCGCUAAGUUUUUAAGGAAGUCAUCGUCCUUAGACAGCCAGGAGGUCGGCUCAGAAGCAGCCAUCCUUGAAAGAAAGCGUAACAGCUCACUGGUUGACGGAAGAUGGCGCCGAAAAUUCAUCGAGGAUAAGUGGUUUACCGAAGCUAAGAAUUCCCCGACGUAAGUCGUGGGUCUGGUAGGGGAGCGUUAAUAACGCGGUGAAGGGCCGAUGUAAAUCGUGCCUGGAGUAUUAUUAAGUGAGAAUGCCGGCAUAAGUAGCGUUUGGAGGUAAGAAUCCUCCAUGCCGAAUGUCCAAGGUUUCCUACACAACGUUCGUCGAUGUAGGGUGAGUCGAUCCUAAGGCAAGUCCCGCUUUUGCGGGGGUAGUCGAUGGACAACAGGUUAAUAUUCCUGUACCGUGAUUGGUUUAAUAUUUAAAGGUGUGACGCCGCCGGAUAGUCAGAGCGUCCUAAUGAUAAGGCGUUUAAAUCAUCAGCCAGUGGCCAUAGGAAAAUCCGUGGCUGCGACGGCGAGUGAUGACGGAAAUUCUGCCUUCGGGCGGGAAAUUCUGACAAGUUUAGCGGCCGAGAAAAGCAUCGUUAAAUGAACCAGUUGCGUUCGUACCGCAAACCGACACAGGUGGACGGGUCGAGUAGACCCAGGCAAGCGGAAGAAUGAUGGUUAAGGAACUCGGCAAAAAAGCUGGGAGUAAGUUCGCAAGAUUCCCUGCCUCGAUGGCGCAAGUCAUCGGGGUCACAGCCAAAGAUUGCCAGUCGACUGUUUAACAAAAACACAGGUCUAUGCAAAGGCGUAAGCCGAAGUAUAUGGGCCGAAACCUGCCCAGUGCCGGAAGGUUAAUUGCGAGGGUGACCCCGACUUGUUCGGGAUAGCCUUCAAUCGAAGCCCCGGUGAACGGCAGCAGUAACUAUAACUGUCAACUAUAGGGCAGUUGUAAAAUUUGGCUAUAUGCUGGAAUCCCUGUUCUGAAAAAGAUGAAGAAUAUCACACUAGAAAUGGUAAAAAAGAUUAUGAUAUAAGUAUGACCAUUUCUGACAAAGUGUUGAUUGCAGGCAAUCAGCAGGAAAGAGUUCCAAGGGACCCGGAGAAUUUGCAUUAUUAUUUGACUGGAUUCGCCGAUGGAGAAGGUAGUUUUACAAUUACCAUCCAUCGUCACCCUGUCCGUUUUGGCUGGGUAAUUGAUCCAAUGUUUCAAGUUUAUCAGCAUAAAGAUAAUGCGUUUAUUCUCUAUAUUUUUAAGAAAGAGUUACAAUGCGGAUACGUCAGCGAAAAAGGAGGAAAUCCAAGCUGUUUUGUCUAUUGUGUAGAUAAAAUUCAGCAGUUAAAGGAUAUUGUUAUUCCUUUUUUUGAGAAAUAUCCGCUGGUCGGAGAAAAAUACGAAAAUUUUUCUCUGUUCAGAGAAGUAGUAAAUCGAUUAUCCGAAAGGAAACAUUUUACCAAGCAGGGAUUCACAAAAAUUGUGAGACUUUGUUUUAGAAUGAACAGAAACGGAAAAUAUCGAAGAAACUCUCUGGAAACAAUUCUUGGGUCUUUGGAAAAAUCCUCAGAGACUAUACGCCAAACUCCGUUAAAAACGGGGAUGAUAUAGUCCGAUCUCUGCGGCGACGCAGAGGAUCUCUGUUCAAGGAAAACAGAGUGAUAACGAAAUGUCUAUGGUAGCGCAGUUCCUUGUCGGGUAAGUUCCGACGCGCACGAAAGGUGUAACGAGCUGGCAACUGUCUUGACCAUUAAUCCGGCGAAAUUGAAAUGGCCGUGAAGAUGCGGCCUAGUGACUGCAGGACAAAAAGACCCCGUGGAGCUUUACUACAACUUGGCACUGAUUUAUUUAUAUCAAUAGUCGAGAAUAGGCGGGAGUAUCGGCGCAAGUCGAUACAACAAGUGGAAUACCGCUCGUUGGUUUAAGUAACUCUAACCCAAAGAUUCUAAACACGAAUCUGGGGACCGUGUCUGGGAGGUAGUUUCGCUGGGGAGGUGGCUUGCUAAAGAGUACCGCAAGCGCGCCAAGGUACCCUUAGUACGGAUAGAAAUCGUACUGAAAGUGUAAAGGCAUAAGGGUGCUUGACUGUGACACCUACAAGUGAAGCAGGAGCGAAAGCUGGCCUUAGUGAUCCUCGAUUGCCUCGUGGGAGGCAACGGGCUUAUCGGAUAAAAGCUACC
This 3208-nucleotide ribosomal RNA is filed under the name Candidatus Beckwithbacteria bacterium CG23_combo_of_CG06-09_8_20_14_all_47_9. Its description in RNAcentral is "bacterial LSU rRNA". It matches the Rfam family "Bacterial large subunit ribosomal RNA", at positions 1 to 2467 of the family's 2925-position model. Lineage: Bacteria; Candidatus Beckwithiibacteriota. The record is from RNAcentral.